UUGGGUUAUAGGUUUUCUUUACGCAAUGUGGUGAAAUAUCUGUUAAACUAUGUGUGCUGCCUGUAUUUUCUUUUGUAGGGAUUUGUAUUUAAAUGUGUUUGAUUUAUUUGUGAAAAAGAAAUACUUUUGUUUGCCAUUUUAUUGUUGAAACCAUUGUUUAAGAAGGACAGGAAGUGACGUGUUGAGGAGACGUGGGAAAAUGAGAGAGAAAAAAAGGCUAGACCAGUGGAAGGGAGAGUGGUUGUUGGAGGUUAACAAAAAGACAAAAAGUGAACGGUGGACAUUUAUCAAAAUUUGAUCGCCAUGUUCGACAAGGACUGUUGAAAGUUCAACUGGGAUAGUGUUUCAUUUGAGUGGACAACUCAAAUUACGCCGUAACGUGGUGGAGUUAGCCGCUACCACAGGGGCUAAGUGCAUGCUUGGAACUUGGCUUGGGCGUUAGCCACCAGCUAACGCUAGCUAGCAAAGACUGUGUGUUGGACCACGAAGGAGAGGACAAGGGUGCUAGCUUUGAGCUAACGCGGCUAGCGAGGCUGUGUUUGGACUUCAAGGAAGGACAAGGGACGAGGACCGUGAGGACGCCAGACAGAGGGAAAACCACCUUCACCUUUCUUCAGGACUUCAAGGAAGGACAAGGGACGAGGACCGUGAGGACACCGGACAGAGGAAGAACCACCGUCACCUUUCUUCAUUCCUGCCUUGGGAAGCACUGCAGUGACAUUGGAGCAUUAUAAAAAAGUGCAACUGUGAGUUGGGGUGGAACACAAAAAGUCCAAGCUCAUGCUGUGAAUCUGUCAGCUUUGAAACAAAGGGAAACACUCUAAACCAACAUCCUGGGUAUAAAUUUGCAAUACGCAAUACAGGACUGAUUGUGCAUCGAGUGGAUGUGGGGUGCAUACGAAUAGCCAUGUGCCCCUUCCUCUCUCCUCCUUUGCCUCCAAAUAGUACAACUCUUUCUCCCCUUCUUCCGUCUUCAGACGCAGCCAACAUAGUUACAUGCGCACCGUCUGCAGCAUCGGAGUAUGUCAGGAAGAAUGUGAAUGGCUGGGAACAAGUGAAGUCUUGGCACUGUCAGCAGGUCAGCUUGAAGCCCUCUCAUAGUCCAGCCCUCAGGACCAGGUGUUCCCUGCAUUCAGAAGAUACGCUUAUUCAUAGACUGCCUCCAUUGGAGUAUUAAAACUAGAAAUUUGCAAGUGAAUGCUGAUAUAAUCCUGGAAAUAUAUGUCUCCAUUAAAAAGUAUCCCAUUUAAAGGAACAAGACAGUCUUUGUGUGAGGCCUUUAUGUAUAUUUAUUAAGGCACUAAAAGGGAUUU
Long non-coding RNA from Syngnathoides biaculeatus (alligator pipefish), 1313 nucleotides. RefSeq lists it as uncharacterized. The transcript is spliced from 4 exons. NCBI's taxonomy places the organism in Eukaryota, Metazoa, Chordata, Actinopteri, Syngnathiformes, Syngnathidae. The record is from RefSeq and is a predicted model, not a curated record.